UACGUAGGGGGCUAGCGUUGUCCGGAUUUAUUGGGCGUAAAGAGCGUGUAGGCGGCCAGGUAGGUCUGGUGUGAAAACUCGAGGCUUAACCUCGAGAUGUCAUCGGAAACCAUCUGGCUAGAGACCGGAAGAGGAGAGUGGAGUUCCUGGUGUAGCGGUGAAAUGCGCAGAUAUCAGGAAGAACACCAAUGGCGAAAGCAGCUCUCUGGGACGGUACUGACGCUGAGACGCGAAAGCGUGGGGAGCGAACAGG
This 253-nucleotide ribosomal RNA is filed under the name uncultured bacterium. RNAcentral describes it as "partial 16S ribosomal RNA". It matches the Rfam family "Bacterial small subunit ribosomal RNA", at positions 524 to 776 of the family's 1533-position model. The record is from RNAcentral.